This is a non-coding RNA of Myotis davidii, 76 nucleotides long. NCBI's taxonomy places the organism in Eukaryota, Metazoa, Chordata, Mammalia, Chiroptera, Vespertilionidae. The record is from Rfam.
GGUGGUUCUCCAGUGAGAGAACCCUGGAAUCGGGCUCCCUCCUCUCUGGUUCCAGGUGUAUCACCCGAGAACCACC